This 348-nucleotide ribosomal RNA is filed under the name uncultured bacterium. RNAcentral's name for it is "bacterial SSU rRNA". It matches the Rfam family "Bacterial small subunit ribosomal RNA", at positions 8 to 350 of the family's 1533-position model. The record is from RNAcentral.
AGAGUUUGAUUAUGGCUCAGGAUGAACGCUAGCUACAGGCUUAACACAUGCAAGUCGAGGGGCAGCAUGGUCUUAGCUUGCUAAGACCGAUGGCGACCGGCGCACGGGUGAGUAACGCGUAUCCAACCUGCCUUACACUCUUGGACAGCCUUCUGAAAGGGAGAUUAAUACAAGAUGUUAUCAUGAGUAAGCAUUUUCACAUGAUUAAAGGUUUACCGGUGUAAGAUGGGGAUGCGUUCCAUUAGAUAGUAGGCGGGGUAACGGCCACCUAGUCUUCGAUGGAUAGGGGUCUGAGAGGAGGUCCCCCANAUUGGAACUGAAGACACGGUCCAACUCCUACGGGAGGCA